GAUUGCCUUUCCAUUGCUUUCGAAUGGUGAGAUUUCUGAAGGGUUGGCCAAGAAGAUCAAGAGUAUUAACGCAAGAGGAGCACAUUACGGUCUGGUAGUUUCCGGCGAAGCAGAACUCAAUGUAUUUCUCGCUGUGGGCGUCUUCCAACCUGUAGAUAUCUCUGGUCGAAGGUUCCAUGUGGGAAUGUUUAGAGGGAGCAGGACAAUUUUAGUCAUGAGCGGAAGUGGAUCGGUGAACGCAGCACAGACAACACAGCUGUUGCUCACUCACUUUCGUGUGAAGGGAGUAAUUCACUAUGGAAGAGCGGCCAGCGCAAACCCCAAAGAUCUCCGUGUUGGUGACGUUGCUAUUCCCAGUCAAUUCGCACACACUGCCGUCUCUGGUACUGGCA
This is a long non-coding RNA of Cryptomeria japonica (Japanese cedar), 392 nucleotides long. RefSeq lists it as uncharacterized. Lineage: Eukaryota; Viridiplantae; Streptophyta; Pinopsida; Cupressales; Cupressaceae. The transcript is spliced from 3 exons. The record is from RefSeq and is a predicted model, not a curated record.